CGAGUGGCGGACGGGUGAGUAAUGUCUGGGAAACUGCCUGAUGGAGGGGGAUAACUACUGGAAACGGUAGCUAAUACCGCAUAACGUCGCAAGACCAAAGAGGGGGACCUUCGGGCCUCUUGCCAUCGGAUGUGCCCAGAUGGGAUUAGCUAGUAGGUGGGGUAACGGCUCACCUAGGCGACGAUCCCUAGCUGGUCUGAGAGGAUGACCGGCCACACUGGAACUGAGACACGGUCCAGACUCCUACGGGAGGCAGCAUG
This 260-nucleotide ribosomal RNA is filed under the name uncultured bacterium. RNAcentral's name for it is "partial 16S ribosomal RNA". It matches the Rfam family "Bacterial small subunit ribosomal RNA", at positions 92 to 353 of the family's 1533-position model. The record is from RNAcentral.